GCUUGUCUCAAAGAUUAAGCCAUGCAUGUCUUAGUGUAAAUAACUCUUAUGAAACUGCGAAUGGCUCAUUAAAUCAGUUAUCGUUUAUUUGAUGGUCCCUUACUACAUGGAUAACCGUAGUAAUUCUAGAGCUAAUACAUGCGCAAAUACCCAACUGCUUGUCGGACGGGUAGCAUUUAUUAGAUUGAAACCAAUGCAGUCUUCGGGCUGGUAUUGUGUUGAGUCAUAAUAACUGUGCGGAUCGCGUUUUACGCGAUAAAUCGAUUGAGUUUCUGCCCUAUCAGCUUUGGAUGGUAGGAUAUGGGCCUACCAUGGCAUUAACGGGUAACGGGGAAUUAGGGUUUGAUUCCGGAGAGGGAGCCUUAGAAACGGCUACCACAUCCAAGGAAGGCAGCAGG
RNAcentral lists this ribosomal RNA (398 nucleotides) under Salilagenidium thermophilum. RNAcentral's name for it is "partial small subunit ribosomal RNA". It matches the Rfam family "Eukaryotic small subunit ribosomal RNA", at positions 30 to 432 of the family's 1831-position model. The record is from RNAcentral. Lineage: Eukaryota; Oomycota; Peronosporomycetes; Pythiales; Lagenidiaceae.